Molecule: ribosomal RNA, 559 nt
Filed under: uncultured bacterium
Lineage: Bacteria
Description: partial 16S ribosomal RNA
Rfam family: Bacterial small subunit ribosomal RNA
Source: RNAcentral
UGGGGAAUAUUGGACAAUGGGGGCAACCCUGAUCCAGCCAUGCCGCGUGAGUGAUGAAGGCCCUAGGGUUGUAAAGCUCUUUUGUGCGGGAAGAUAAUGACGGUACCGCAAGAAUAAGCCCCGGCUAACUUCGUGCCAGCAGCCGCGGUAAUACGAAGGGGGCUAGCGUUGCUCGGAAUCACUGGGCGUAAAGGGUGCGUAGGCGGGUUUCUAAGUCAGAGGUGAAAGCCUGGAGCUCAACUCCAGAACUGCCUUUGAUACUGGAAGUCUUGAGUAUGGCAGAGGUNAGUGGAACUGCGAGUGUAGAGGUGAAAAUUCGUAGAUAUUCGCAAGAACACCAGUGGCGAAGGCGGCUCACUGGGCCAUUACUGACGCUGAGGCACGAAAGCGUGGGGAGCAAACAGGAUUAGAUACCCUGGUAGUCCACGCCGUAAAACGAUGAAUGCCAGCCGUUAGUGGGUUUUACUCACUAGUGGCGCAGCUAACGCUUUUAAGCAUUCCGCCUGGGGAGUACGGUCGCAAGAUUAAAAACUUAAAUGAAUUGACGGGGUCAUAGCUG